GGCGCUUUGGCUUAGUUGUCAAGGCGUCAGACUUUCGUCCCGAAGGUCCCGGGUUCAAUUCCACGGAUGCGCUA
Molecule: non-coding RNA, 74 nt
Organism: Aphanomyces cochlioides
Lineage: Eukaryota; Oomycota; Saprolegniomycetes; Saprolegniales; Verrucalvaceae
Source: the annotation of a GenBank genome assembly